GGUCACUGAUAGGAGUCUAGAUUUCAAAUUGUUACUACGAGUCGCUCCCAAGGCAGUAGGUAUCUCUCCAUCGUUCACGCUGACACACAUUAAUUUUGAAAGUUGCAUUAUCAUUUGUUAAUAAUCUUAGAGAUUAUAAAAUUAGUAGAAAAAAGAAAAAAAAAACUGAUGACAAAAAAGAUACAGUGAAGUUUUUUCCGUAAUCGUCCUCUCUAACUUCAGGCAGUUCGACAUUAAACACCACCCAUGCGUCAGGAGGAACCUUGUCACGAAAAGCACCAUACCUGUGUCUGUGAGCCAGCCAGAAUAUAAUCAUUAUCUCAUUAAUUUAACAACUACUAGACUACAAAGCCUCUUAUUUCAACAACUAGUUUUAUAGUACAAACCUAAUAAUAACAUAAAAGGUGAUUUUCCACCGUUGGAUUCGAAAAUCUUGCUAUUCUCUUGAAGCUUUCAAGUAUGAUAAUAACUAACCUGCAGACAGAGACAACAGAAUGAGCUCCAGUUGAGAAGUUACACACAAACUACAUUAAUUGACGCACUCUGAUAGAACAAAUCCCACAAAGAAGGGAUUCACCAGUCACAACAACUUAAUAUAUAUAUAGUUUUGGUGGUUCUUAUGAGACAUUUUGUUUCUUCACUUCCUAUCCAAUAUAUAUGAUCAUGUGGUGCUCGUCUCAGUAAGGCAUUAGUUUGUUCAUAUAUUUCCUAUUCAAUGUCUAUUCUUUAAUGUUUUCUCGACGCCCUCUCGUGUAUGCAAUGUAGGACCAAC
This 772-nucleotide long non-coding RNA is filed under the name Capsella rubella. RNAcentral's name for it is "long non-coding RNA (CRUB_LNC001861)". Lineage: Eukaryota; Viridiplantae; Streptophyta; Magnoliopsida; Brassicales; Brassicaceae. The record is from RNAcentral.